GACGAAGGGGGCUAGCGUUGUUCGGAAUUACUGGGCGUAAAGCGUGUGUAGGCGGUUUUUCAAGUCAGGUGUGAAAGCCUUGAGCUCAACUCAAGAAAUGCACUUGAUACUGGAUGACUAGAGGACCGGAGAGGAUAGUGGAAUUCCCAGUGUAGUGGUGAAAUACGUAGAGAUUGGGAAGAACACCAGUGGCGAAGGCGGCUAUCUGGACGGUUUCUGACGCUAAGACGCGAAAGCGUGGGGAGCAAACAGG
Molecule: ribosomal RNA, 253 nt
Filed under: uncultured bacterium
Lineage: Bacteria
Description: partial 16S ribosomal RNA
Rfam family: Bacterial small subunit ribosomal RNA
Source: RNAcentral